GGGGCUGCUAGGUUUCUACAUAUAUUAUAGUAUGUUUAAAGUUGAGAUAAAAAUGAAGCUUAAAUUUAUAUUCUAUAUAAUUUAAAAUAAAUGCAAAACAUCAAAUAGUUUCUCUAUCUAAAAAUUUAAUACCAGCAUAAUUUUAUAGUUUUGUUUGUUAUAUAUUUUUAGAAUAUUAAAAAGUACUAUCAUUAUAUUUUUCAAUUAGUAAAUUAUGAUUGCUCUUAAUUUUUUUAUGAUUUUAAGUUAAGUAAAAGUAAUAUAAAAUAUUUAAAUCUCUCUUACUUUUAUAUUAAAUAAUUUUAUUUAGUUAAAGUAAACUUUGUAUACUGUACUUAUAUGGACGUGGGUUCAACUCUCACCA
Molecule: non-coding RNA, 364 nt
Filed under: Hypnea cervicornis
Lineage: Eukaryota; Rhodophyta; Florideophyceae; Gigartinales; Hypneaceae
Source: RNAcentral